This is an RNA transcript of Enhydra lutris kenyoni (northern sea otter), 472 nucleotides long. It is a transcript of the gene named prefoldin subunit 4 pseudogene, with no coding region annotated. NCBI's taxonomy places the organism in Eukaryota, Metazoa, Chordata, Mammalia, Carnivora, Mustelidae. The record is from RefSeq and is a predicted model, not a curated record. The transcript has a single exon.
CCCAAGAUGGCGGCCACCAUGAAGAAGGCGGCUGCAGAAGAUGUCAACGUUACUUUUGAAGAUCAACAAAAGAUAAACAAAUUUGCACGGAACACGAGUAGAAUCACAGAGCUGAAGGAGGAAAUAGAAGUUAAAAAGAAACAACUCCAGAAUUUAGAAGAUGCUUGUGAGGACAUCAUGCUUGCAGAUGAUGAUUGCUUAAUGAUACCUUAUCAAAUUGGUGAUGUUUUCAUUAGCCAUUCUCAAGAAGAAACACAGGAAAUGUUAGAAGAAGCAAAGAAAAAUUUGCAAGAAGAAAUUGACGCCUUAGAAGCCAGAGUGGAAUCAAUUCAGCGAGUGUUAGUGGAUCUGAAAGUUCAGUUAUAUGCAAAAUUUGGGAGCAACAUAAACCUCGAAGCUGAUGACAGUUAAACAUUUUAUAAUACUUUUUUUAAAUUUGUUUAAUAAACUUGAAUAUUGUUUAAAAUGAAAA